GGCAGCGAAGCCGUGAGGCGGAGCCAAUCCCNGAAAACCGAUCGUAGUCCGGAUUGCAGUCUGCAACUCGACUGCAUGAAGUCGGAAUCGCUAGUAAUCGCGGAUCAGCAUGCCGCGGUGAAUACGUUCCCGGGUCUUGUACACACCGCCCGUCAAACAAUGGGAGUGGUGUUUACCAGAAGUCGUUAGCCUAACCGCAAGGAGGGCGGCGACCACGGUGAGCACCGUGACUAAUGUUAAGUCGUAACAAGGUACC
RNAcentral lists this ribosomal RNA (256 nucleotides) under uncultured bacterium. Its description in RNAcentral is "partial 16S ribosomal RNA". It matches the Rfam family "Bacterial small subunit ribosomal RNA", at positions 1245 to 1500 of the family's 1533-position model. The record is from RNAcentral.